GGCAGAUAUCCUAAUGGCAGCUCUCAUGUAAUCUGUAAAAACAAAGAACGUAGCACAAUAUGGAAUGAGUCCAGGACUGUGAAGGGCAAUUCCAUUGCAGAUGGCUCCCAUUCCGUGCUCUCUAACACCAAAUCGAAGAUUACGCUCUUCAGGAGUAUCCUUUUGGAAGUUUCCGAACGAUUUAAGUAAGGUCAUGUUUGAUGAAGCAAGGUCAGCACUUCCACCAAGGAAACCAGGGAGAACUUUUGCAAGGGCAUUAAGGUUUUGCUGGGAAAGAUUUCUAGUGGCAUCAGCUGGGCUCUCCGGGGUGUAUGUUGGCAAUGCCUUUUCCCAACCAGCAGGUAGUUCGCCAUUAAUAAUAGACUUCAGUUCAGCAGCUUCCUCUGCAUACUUCUUC
This 397-nucleotide unclassified non-coding RNA is filed under the name Hevea brasiliensis (rubber tree). Lineage: Eukaryota; Viridiplantae; Streptophyta; Magnoliopsida; Malpighiales; Euphorbiaceae. The record is from RNAcentral.